UGGAGGCAGCAGUGGGGAAUAUUGCACAAUGGAGGGAACUCUGAUGCAGCAACGCCGCGUGAAGGAUGAAGGUUUUCGGAUUGUAAACUUCUUUGAUCGGGGACGAAUAAAAUGACGGUACCCGAGGAACAAGCCACGGCUAACUACGUGCCAGCAGCCGCGGUAAUACGUAGGUGGCGAGCGUUGUCCGGAAUUACUGGGUGUAAAGGGCGUGUAGGCGGGACUGUAAGUCAGAUGUGAAAUUCCAUAGCUCAACUAUGGAGCUGCAUCUGAAACUAUGGUUCUUGAGUGCUGGAGAGGGAAGCGGAAUUCCUAGUGUAGCGGUGAAAUGCGUAGAUAUUAGGAGGAACACCAGUGGCGAAGGCGGCUUUCUGGACAGUAACUGACGCUGAGGCGCGAAAGCGUGGGGAGCAAACAGGAUUAGAUACCCCCGUA
This 435-nucleotide ribosomal RNA is filed under the name uncultured bacterium. RNAcentral's name for it is "bacterial SSU rRNA". It matches the Rfam family "Bacterial small subunit ribosomal RNA", at positions 343 to 792 of the family's 1533-position model. The record is from RNAcentral.